This 253-nucleotide ribosomal RNA is filed under the name uncultured bacterium. Its description in RNAcentral is "partial 16S ribosomal RNA". It matches the Rfam family "Bacterial small subunit ribosomal RNA", at positions 524 to 776 of the family's 1533-position model. The record is from RNAcentral.
UACGGAGGAUGCAAGCGUUAUCCGGAAUGAUUGGGCGUAAAGCGUCCGCAGGCGGCAGUUCAAGUCUGCUGUCAAAGACCGGGGCUCAACCUCGGAAAGGCAGUGGAAACUGAACAGCUAGAGUAUGGUAGGGGCAAAGGGAAUUCCUGGUGUAGCGGUGAAAUGCGUAGAGAUCAGGAAGAACAGCGGUGGCGAAGGCGGUUUGCUGGACCAUAACUGACGCUCAGGGACGAAAGCUAGGGGAGCGAACGGG